RNAcentral lists this ribosomal RNA (402 nucleotides) under uncultured bacterium. Its description in RNAcentral is "bacterial SSU rRNA". It matches the Rfam family "Bacterial small subunit ribosomal RNA", at positions 32 to 423 of the family's 1533-position model. The record is from RNAcentral.
AAUCAACGCUGGCGGCGUGCCUCAGACAUGCAAGUCGAACGAUUAAAGCUCUCUUCGGAGAGUGUAUAGAGUGGCGCACGGGUGAGUAACACGUAAGUAAUCUACCUUCGAGUGGGGAAUAACGUCCGGAACGGACGCUAAUACCGCAUAAUGCAGCGGCAUCGCAAGAUGACAGUUGUUAAAGAUUUAUCGCUUGAAGAGGAGCUUGCGGCAGAUUAGCUAGUUGGUAAGGUAACGGCUUACCAAGGCUACGAUCUGUAUCCGGUCUAAGAGGACGGUCGGACACACUGACACUGAAUAACGGGUCAGACUCCUACGGGGAGGCAGCAGUCGGGGAAUUUUGGGCGAAUGGGCGAAAGCCUGACCCAGCAACGCCGCGUGAAGGAUGAAGUAAUUUCGGUA